GGAUUCCCCUAGUAACGGCGAGUGAAGCGGGAAGAGCUCAAAUUUAAAAUCUGGCGGUUCACCGUCCGAGUUGUAGUCUAGAGAAGCAUCAUCUACGCUGGACCAUGUACAAGUCUCUUGGAACAGAGCGUCAUAGAGGGUGAGAAUCCCGUCCUUGACAUGGACUCCCAGUGUUCUGUGUUGUGCUCUCAACGAGUCGAGUUGUUUGGGAAUGCAGCUCAAAAUGGGUGGGUAAAUUCCAUCUAAAGCUAA
This 252-nucleotide ribosomal RNA is filed under the name uncultured Ceratobasidiaceae. RNAcentral describes it as "partial large subunit ribosomal RNA". It matches the Rfam family "Eukaryotic large subunit ribosomal RNA", at positions 72 to 319 of the family's 3401-position model. The record is from RNAcentral. Lineage: Eukaryota; Fungi; Basidiomycota; Agaricomycetes; Cantharellales; Ceratobasidiaceae.